This is a non-coding RNA of Physcomitrium patens, 1132 nucleotides long. Lineage: Eukaryota; Viridiplantae; Streptophyta; Bryopsida; Funariales; Funariaceae. The record is from RefSeq and is a predicted model, not a curated record.
GAUGAUGCACAUAUGGAGGCGCCCACUCUGACUCAGGAACGGAAGGAAGUCAUAACCGAGGUUUUCGGACAUGUGACGUGUGUUGCGACGCCGCGUUCAGGGCGAUAAGUACUCCCUCCCAUGCUUUCCGAAAAUGAGAGUAAACAGCACAUGCUUUGGAUUCGUUGGAUUCCGUGAGAGAGAGGGCAAUUGCUCAAUUUCUUAGAAGACCAGAUACGCGCAGUCUCGGAACUCGCAGCUGUCUUCGAAGAGUGGGGAACUGUCAGUGGAGAGGUUUUUGUGCAGGAGGUUCUAACUCAGAGUGGGCUUUCAAAGGGCAAGCUCUUAGGCUGAGUUUAGGGGGAUUGCAAAUAUGGAUGGCGAGAGGUAUAUUGGAGUGGCGCUGGAUUACUCGCCUAGCAGCAGAUAUGCUUUGAAAUGGAGCAUAAAGAAUGUCCUGCGCGAGAAUGAUCACCUCAUUAUCGUGGUGGUGAACAAAGACAACCUCCUUGAAGGUGGCCAACCAGCUCUGUGGGAGGCGUCCGGCACCCGGCUUUAGAGGUUGGAGAAACACACACCGCAAAACGGCUCAUCUAGCUUAUGAUUGAUACUGAUCGUAUCGGUAUGGGCUUGAAAACAUCCGCUUUUGGGGUGUAGCUUUGAUUCCUUUGCAAGAAGCAGAAAACAUAAUUUACCAGCAGAAUUACCAAUUGACGAUUGACGAAGAACUUAAGACGGUUCUACAUGAAGCUGUAGCGAAGAAGAUUGUCGUGGUCUUCAAGGUCUACUGGGGCGACGCUAAGGAGAAGCUCUGCAGUUCCGUUGUGGACGUGCCCCUGGAUUACCUUGUCAUGGGAUGCCGAGGUCUCAGCAGCAUCAAAAGGGCCUUCAUGGGAAGCGUAAGCAACUAUGUGGUAAACAACGUACCUUGCCCCGUUACUAUAGUGAAGUUGCCGCCCAGUUGAGCGGAAGAUUGUCGGUCUCCUGUUGACGGAUGAUAACGAAUACUCUUUUUAACGGGGGGUCCUUGUUACACUAUAUUUGUUAUGAAUUCCCGACUCUAUAGAACCGAAGUGCAAAGGGAAGAUGGUAUUACUGUGAGCUAACUGUUUUUUAAUACAUUGCAUUGCAAGGGAACUCCCUGCUUGUGUUA